CAAGUCGUACGCUUCUUUUUCCACCGGAGCUUGCUCCACCGGAAAAAGAAGAGUGGCGAACGGGUGAGUAACACGUGGGUAACCUGCCCAUCAGAAGGGGAUAACACUUGGAAACAGGUGCUAAUACCGUAUAACAAUCGAAACCGCAUGGUUUUGAUUUGAAAGGCGCUUUCGGGUGUCGCUGAUGGAUGGACCCGCGGUGCAUUAGCUAGUUGGUGAGGUAACGGCUCACCAAGGCCACGAUGCAUAGCCGACCUGAGAGGGUGAUCGGCCACAUUGGGACUGAGACACGGCCCAAACUCCUACGGGAGGCAGCAGUAGGGAAUCUUCGGCAAUGGACGAAAGUCUGACCGAGCAACGCCGCGUGAGUGAAGAAGGUUUUCGGAUCGUAAAACUCUGUUGUUAGAGAAGAACAAGGAUGAGAGUAACUGUUCAUCCCUUGACGGUAUCUAACCAGAAAGCCACGGCUAACUACGUGCCAGCAGCCGCGGUAAUACGUAGGUGGCAAGCGUUGUCCGGAUUUAUUGGGCGUAAAGCGAGCGCAGGCGGUUUCUUAAGUCUGAUGUGAAAGCCCCCGGCUCAACCGGGGAGGGUCAUUGGAAACUGGGAGACUUGAGUGCAGAAGAGGAGAGUGGAAUUCCAUGUGUAGCGGUGAAAUGCGUAGAUAUAUGGAGGAACACCAGUGGCGAAGGCGGCUCUCUGGUCUGUAACUGACGCUGAGGCUCGAAAGCGUGGGGAGCAAACAGGAUUAGAUACCCUGGUAGUCCACGCCGUAAACGAUGAGUGCUAAGUGUUGGAGGGUUUCCGCCCUUCAGUGCUGCAGCUAACGCAUUAAGCACUCCGCCUGGGGAGUACGACCGCAAGGUUGAAACUCAAAGGAAUUGACGGGGGCCCGCACAAGCGGUGGAGCAUGUGGUUUAAUUCGAAGCAACGCGAAGAACCUUACCAGGUCUUGACAUCCUUUGACCACUCUAGAGAUAGAGCUUCCCCUUCGGGGGCAAAGUGACAGGUGGUGCAUGGUUGUCGUCAGCUCGUGUCGUGAGAUGUUGGGUUAAGUCCCGCAACGAGCGCAACCCUUAUUGUUAGUUGCCAUCAUUUAGUUGGGCACUCUAGCAAGACUGCCGGUGACAAACCGGAGGAAGGUGGGGAUGACGUCAAAUCAUCAUGCCCCUUAUGACCUGGGCUACACACGUGCUACAAUGGGAAGUACAACGAGUCGCGAAGUCGCGAGGCUAAGCUAAUCUCUUAAAGCUUCUCUCAGUUCGGAUUGUAGGCUGCAACUCGCCUACAUGAAGCCGGAAUCGCUAGUAAUCGCGGAUCAGCACGCCGCGGUGAAUACGUUCCCGGGCCUUGUACACACCGCCCGUCACACCACGAGAGUUUGUAACACCCGAAGUCGGUGAGGUAACCUUUGGAGCCAGC
RNAcentral lists this ribosomal RNA (1422 nucleotides) under Enterococcus durans. RNAcentral describes it as "bacterial SSU rRNA". It matches the Rfam family "Bacterial small subunit ribosomal RNA". Lineage: Bacteria; Bacillati; Bacillota; Bacilli; Lactobacillales; Enterococcaceae. The record is from RNAcentral.